GUCACGCUGUAAACGAUGUCGAUUUGGAGGUUGUUCCGUUGGGAGUGGCUUCCGGAGCUAACGCGUUAAAUCGACCGCUGGGGAGUACGGCCGCAAGGUUAAAACUCAAAUGAAUUGACGGGGGCCCGCACAGCGGUGGAGCAUGUGGUUUAAUUCGAUGCAACGCGAAGAACCUUACCUACUCUUGACAUCCAGAGAAUUUAGCAGAGAUGCUUUAGUGCCUUCGGGAACUCUGAGACAGGUGCUGCAUGGCUGUCGUCAGCUCGUGUUGUGAAAUGUUGGGUUAAGUCCCGCAACGAGCGCAACCCUUAUCCUUUGUUGCCAGCACGUUAUGGUGGGAACUCAAAGGAGACUGCCGGUGAUAAACCGGAGGAAGGUGGGGAUGACGUCAAGUCAUCAUGGCCCUUACGAGUAGGGCUACACACGUGCUACAAUGGCGUAUACAAAGAGAAGCGACCUCGCGAGAGCAAGCGGAACUCAUAAAGUACGUCGUAGUCCGGAUUGGAGUCUGCAACUCGACUCCAUGAAGUCGGAAUCGCUAGUAAUCGUAGAUCAGAAUGCUACGGUGAAUACGUUCCCGGGCCUUGUACACACCGCCCGUCACACCAUGGGAGUGGGUUGCAAAAGAAGUAGGUAGCUUAACCUUCGGGAGGGCGCUUACCACUUUGUGAUUCAUGACUGGGGUGAAGUCGUAACAAGGUAACCA
RNAcentral lists this ribosomal RNA (706 nucleotides) under uncultured Enterobacteriaceae bacterium. RNAcentral's name for it is "bacterial SSU rRNA". It matches the Rfam family "Bacterial small subunit ribosomal RNA", at positions 794 to 1502 of the family's 1533-position model. Lineage: Bacteria; Pseudomonadati; Pseudomonadota; Gammaproteobacteria; Enterobacterales; Enterobacteriaceae. The record is from RNAcentral.